UUGCAAUCACCAAAAGCGGCGACAGGUGGCAACAUCGAUCCGCUCUCUGAUCAAUAAUUGCGCUCAUCAGACAGGACGGCUGCGCUUUUACAAAUAAACGGAUCGAUACUUCUUGAUCGUAAACGGAAUGACGACAUAAAACCAAUAGGCUGACACGAAAUGGAUGACAUUUCGUCCCACAGACGGUCAUGUUAAUGCAGCACGCGUUUCAAUAUUUGGAAAAAAAAAAAAAUGAACAUGAUUGAGGGCUGCUUUCAGUCUUGGAGGUCGCCACGUUAUGAAACUUAAUUUUCUGAAUCUGGACUGGACACACUUUGUUCGAACAGCGAGAAAAUAAAUGAAAAGAAACUUGAAGAGGUGACCUGACCACGACGGGAACGAGGAAGUGGUGUACAGCGAAGGUCACGCGUCGCCACUUCUAAAAUGGACAGACUGGGAAUCAAACCUCAAAAGGCCUUUUGUCACAGGGCUGUGAGUGAGCUGGCGCUUUUUCCACCUGACCUUGGGCGAAAAAGUACUACAGCCUGGACCAAUCACAGGGAACAUACGAAGAAACAACCAUUCACAACUACAGCAACCACCUCAACCUUCUGACGUUGACCGUGGGUCCUGCCUCAACAUUUGCUGCUUUUUGUCUGCCUGUUUCCAUGCCUGUUUGGUGUUCUGCUGUCACGACAUCGAAGGGUGAGCUUCCCUGUCUAGCCCUUUCCCUUUGGAUUCCUGAGGAUUCAGACUAAAAAGUAUCUCAAACCCUUCCCAAAUGUGAAGAGAACCAUUAUCUAAACUUUGAAUUGAAUUAUACUAGCUACUCAUCUGCUUGUCUCUAGACCUGUUCACAAUGUAGCAGCAUAAGAACACUAUCGGUAGUCACAUAGAGGCAAGUCAUAAGGAAGUCUCAAGUCUUAGCUAUCAAGUUUCAAGCAAGUGCCAAAUUCCUGUGGCAAAAUUUCAAGCAAAUUGAGUCGUCGUUUGGUUAAGACAGUCGCAAGUCAAACAGUCGCAUGACUCGAGACAAGCCAAUGUGAUUCUAAAUCCCAACAAAUUGGAGUUCUUGGAGCAGACUGACUUUGAACGUUCCAAUAAACAUAAUCGUAGCCCCGAAGGCACCGUUUGAAGGAGUAAGGAGAGAGGUUGGCCACUGAAGACUUGAGGAUUGGGAUUACUUCGAUCAUUAGAUGAAUUACAAGCAGCUGCUUAAAGAGAGCAAAUCAUGAAAUGACUUGAGCAGGUUUUCAUGUUGAUCAGAGCGAAUCAAGUCCACAUGAACUGAUCAAAAAGUGACGCUCAACGAUGCGGCCACGGCGGGUAUAUUCGGAAGAAAAAAAAACAAAAUAAAAUUGAACUUACGAACCCUC
Long non-coding RNA from Syngnathoides biaculeatus (alligator pipefish), 1355 nucleotides. RefSeq lists it as uncharacterized. Lineage: Eukaryota; Metazoa; Chordata; Actinopteri; Syngnathiformes; Syngnathidae. The record is from RefSeq and is a predicted model, not a curated record. The transcript is spliced from 4 exons.